Molecule: long non-coding RNA, 2894 nt
Filed under: Solanum tuberosum (potato)
Lineage: Eukaryota; Viridiplantae; Streptophyta; Magnoliopsida; Solanales; Solanaceae
Description: long non-coding RNA (STUB_LNC002151)
Source: RNAcentral
GUCCACCGAGCAGCAGUUAACUCAGAGAAAAAGCGCCUUUCCAUUGCCAGUCUUCACAGUCUAGCUUUAGGUAAAAAAGUUAGACCUGCCCCAGCUCUUGUCGAUGAACAACAUAUAUUGUCCUAUAACGAAGGAGGAUUCAGUGAUUUCCUUGACUUCAUUUCUGGAGAAGAUAUUGUGCAGGUAAAGUACAUAGAUAAAUUAAAAAUAAAUCCAUGAUGAUUAUAUAUAGUCCACGGACAGCAGAUAAUCUGUGCUAAAAUCCUAAGGUGUAUAACCAGUAGCCAUUUUUUCUAUGUACUUUGUGCCAAUAUCUAAGGGUGGGUGUUUGGUUCUUCACUGGUGCAUACUGAAUUCCGAACAGAACUAGUUCGAUUCAGUUCGGUUUUUUUCUAAUUCGGUUCGGUUCUUCGGUAUGCGCUUGAUAAGUACUUCUUACUGCAAACCCAAGGUUCACUAAAUCUGGGUUGAAGAGAAACCACCAUCAACGGAGGUAGACUGUGUAGAAACUGGGCUAGAGAUGGUGUGUGCAGCAUCACUUAUGUACACACGUUGUUAUUGUCUUAUAAAGAAACUGGUCUUUAUUCCCUACAUUCAAUCUUUCAUAGCAGUGUCCAACUUUUGCUCUUCUUAUUCUUUAUUGUUUCUAUUUUUUAAGAAUAAGAUUGAAUGUAUCAACAACUCUUGUUCAAAGUUUCCAUUUAAUAAUGAAAAUCCUCUGUUCUUAAAUACAUGUCUCUUGAGCGAUCACUGAUAUAUUUAGAUCAGCAUUAGAAGUUGAGUUUGAGGGAAGAAAAAAUCUUUAAGUGAGCUUGUACUAUAUAUCAUCAAAAUGUUGAUAAACAUGGACAUACAAGUAUAAUUAGGGGAAUAUAUGCCUAGAGAUAUGGUUCACUGAAAGGUCGCUGCAGUAUUCUACACUGAAGCUCCACAAAAUUUCAGUUCUUCAGUUAAGGACCCAAAAACCGAGAACCGAACACCAAAGUCUUAAAAAAUUUAAUACCGAAACCGAAGAAAUGAAUUAAUUUGGUCCAGUUUUUCAGUUAUUAUGCCUCUCCCUACUAAUAUCACUUGAGAGAGGCUCUCCUUUCUUCACGCUAGGGGGAUUUACUGUGAAAAAUAAGAAUAUAAGGAUCCAUAACUUUUGCAUCUCGGUAUAGCAGGACUUGAACUUGCGAUCUUUAUGACGCAUUAUCAGGACUGUGAAAAAGUCCAAGGUUGUACCAACUGAGCUACUAAUUAACAAAAUUAAGACGCAGCAUCAGGAUCUUCAAUAAGUCCAGUGAUUUACCUCAGUUAUCUAACAUCGUAUACUUCAGCAGAUAGAAGCCAGCAACUGGAAAAUUCAAAUAAUUUUCAAAGUGGAAUUAAGUUCUAAGUUCCAACAUAAACAUCUAGUUUGUAUACAUAUACAUCAAAAAUCACCUUCCACGUUUUGUUUAUAUAGCACAGAAGCAGCCAUAUACAUCAAAAUGACCUUCCACAUUUUGUUUAUAUAGCACAGAAGCAGCCAGCAUAACAAAACAGCUCUGAUAUUUUUGAAAAAGUCAACAGCUCUGAUAUUAAUAUAUCGUUUUUUAAAAUUACUUCAGGUUUUCUGUUGAGAAGUUUUCAUCGUAAGCCAACAGGAAGUAUGCCUUCAAACUCAAGUUCCAUGACUGAGGUAAUGCUCACAUAUGAUUUGGCUUAUGUUUCGACAUCCAAGCUGUUUUCCCUCCAACACUAUCCACUCAUUCCAAAGCACCUUCAAACUAACUUGAAAUUGUUGCAAAUCAAGGAAUAAAUUUUCAGGCAUUUACAUAUGAAUUUCUUUAACUAAAUUGGUUAUUUUAUAUAGUUUGUACAACUUACAAACUUGCAAUAUUUUCCACUUCCAAAAGGUUAUCACCAUGCAUAAUCAGAAUCAAUUGUUAAUAUUUCUCUAAAUGAACACAUGCACUUUGUUUAUCUUAAUUGUUUCAAUUUACUUCCAAUUAAUUCCUUAUGUCAGCUCAUGAUAUUUAAGAUUUAGUGAUCGUUAGUACAUAAUUCAAGCUAAUAAUGUACUGUUUCCAUCGUAGAAUAAUAGAUCAUCUCCUUAGAAAUAAGCACAACAUAUCCUCAUAUCUCGUAAUUAAAACAUCAUAUUUUCCCAAUUAUUUAAUCUAGAGAUGGCAAGAUUUCUGUUUUCCCCCAUUCAGAUAGGUGUGGAGAUUAAAUUUUCCUCCUUUAUUUGGAGCAAUUAGACAACUCUCCAAUUAUUUGAACAACAUCAUUGUUUAAUCACAACUACCCUUAUUUGUCCGGUGUUAAAGACUCUCCAAGGAGGAUAAUGGAUAACAGUUAAAAGCCAAAGACAUUCAAUAAUUCGACGAACAAAAACGCAGCACAUUAAUGUAUUUCAACUUUCAAGUAAGUUUAAGUAUUCAUUUUCCUCCUUGAUAUAACUAAGAAUUUUCUAAUUUCUUCAGCUAUUAACACCAUAUUUCUUAGAAAUACAGUUUACGAUGCAAUUUUAAGUGUAUUAAACAAAAUUAUCCCAACAUAUAUUCAGUACUAUAACAAAAAUCAUCUACUUGAAGUUACUAAAACAAUUGCUCGACUUCUUUCCCCUUUUGACGGUCAAAUCUUCUCAACAAAAUAUGAACAGAAAAAAUCAAAAUUGCAGAUAUACAUGAAUCUCACUAUAAUUAGUACAUUACACGCAACAAAAAAAAUCAUCAAAAAUACAGAAACUCUCCACUGUUCCAGGCCAAAAAAAAAACGCGGGAAAAGCACUUACGAUAAUCGAUUCAAAAAAUUAGCCGUCACUCUCUUCCUUCCUUACGUCUCCGCCGGCCAUCGCUAAGCCUCUUCUCCGUCGAAUUUCCUUCCUAACUUAUUCUGAUUAUUUUCAACUGAAGGUGGCUUUCGGG